RNAcentral lists this ribosomal RNA (403 nucleotides) under uncultured bacterium. RNAcentral describes it as "partial 16S ribosomal RNA". It matches the Rfam family "Bacterial small subunit ribosomal RNA", at positions 28 to 526 of the family's 1533-position model. The record is from RNAcentral.
GACGAACGCUGGCGGCGUGCCUAAUACAUGCAAGUCGAACGCAGUGGGGACGGGGGAGUAACACGUGGGUAACCUCCCAUCAGAGGGGAUAACACUUGGAAACAGGUGCUAAACCGAUACUGAUGGAUGGACCCGCGGUGCAUUAGCUAGUUGGUGAGGGAACGGGUAAAAAAGGCCACGGUGCAUAGGAGACCUGAGUGUGUGUACGGCCACACUGGGACGGAGAAACAGCCCAUACUCCAACGUGAGGCAGCAGUAGGGAAUCUACGGCAAUGGACGAAAGUCUGACCGAGCAACGCCGCGUGAGUGAAGAAGGUUUUCGGAUCGUAAAACUCUGUUUUUAGAGUAGCGGUAUCUAACCAGAAAGCCACGGCUAACUACGAGCCAGCAGACGCGGUAAUAC